GCUCACGCUUGGCGGGAAAGAACUAGGGUUUGUUGUGAGCGCCAUGGGAUUUAUGGUAACGACGAUCCUCUUCUUCGGCGCUGCGCUGCUGGGCUGCCUGGGAUUCACAUUCUUCUACAACAAAGGGCCAUCCAUGAAUUUGCUACAUGUAACUUUGGUGAUCACCGCUGUGGUCUCGUGCUGGAUGCUAUGGGCGAUUGUGUAUAUUGCACAGAUGAAUCCCUUGAUAAAUCCCAUUCUCUUGGACGAGGAAUGACACUACUUCCACACUCCUACUGCCACAUUUUUUGUAGCCAGGCCAGAUUACGCGACAACGAACAGUGGAUGACAAAACUUCGUGAUUUGGGAUCUUAUGAUCUCUCGAGUUUCAAAAGGGGGAUUACAAAAGUUUCGAGCGAAUGGCCAUCGCCGCCACAUCUCCUCCAUCGCCUUUGGUUCCACUGCUACUUCUCUCCAUUCUGUUUCUCUUCAAAGGCAAAGGCAUCCCGGGCUUGAAAGAUGGCUUGACAACAUUCUCCGUUUGGGCUAUACUGCUGCCUCUCAUCAUCUUUGUUGCUGCGAUGAUCAUCCAUCCAAGAUCCUCGUCUCAAACCAACACAGCAAACUUACCAAAGCUUUCAUCCACACCAAACUAUAAUCACUUCGACACUUAUGGCGCUGGAGCUUCAAAUUCCUCCGAAGGCCCCAGAUGGGGAUACAUUCUCAUGUCCAUGCUCUUUGCGCUGCUCAUGCAACUGUUUAAAGAGAAGAAAAAGGAUUAGAGCCAAA
Molecule: RNA transcript, 768 nt
Organism: Selaginella moellendorffii
Lineage: Eukaryota; Viridiplantae; Streptophyta; Lycopodiopsida; Selaginellales; Selaginellaceae
Gene name: V-type proton ATPase subunit e1
Exons: 5
Source: RefSeq, a predicted model, not a curated record